RNAcentral lists this ribosomal RNA (402 nucleotides) under uncultured bacterium. RNAcentral describes it as "bacterial SSU rRNA". It matches the Rfam family "Bacterial small subunit ribosomal RNA", at positions 355 to 774 of the family's 1533-position model. The record is from RNAcentral.
UUGGGAAUCUUGGACAAUGGGGGAAACCCUGAUCCAGCCAUGCCGCGUGAGUGAUGAAGGCCUUCGGGUUGUAAAACUCUUUCGACGGGGACGAUAAUGACGGUACCCGUAGAAGAAGCUCCGGCUAACUUCGUGCCAGCAGCCGCGGUAAUACGAAGGGGGCUAGCGUUGUUCGGAAUUACUGGGCGUAAAGCGCGCGCAGGCGGCUAUCCAAGUCAGUGGUGAAAGCCCGGAGCUCAACUCCGGAACUGCCAUUGAAACUGUUUAGCUUGAGGACGAGAGAGGUGAGUGGAAUUCCCAGUGUAGAGGUGAAAUUCGUAGAUAUUGGGAAGAACACCAGUGGCGAAGGCGGCUCACUGGCUCGUAUCUGACGCUCAGGCGCGAUAGCGUGGGGAUCAAACA